This 459-nucleotide ribosomal RNA is filed under the name uncultured bacterium. Its description in RNAcentral is "partial 16S ribosomal RNA". It matches the Rfam family "Bacterial small subunit ribosomal RNA", at positions 338 to 795 of the family's 1533-position model. The record is from RNAcentral.
CCUACGGGUGGCAGCAGUGAGGAAUAUUGGUCAAUGGGCGCAAGCCUGAACCAGCCAAGUCGCGUGAGGGAAGACGGUCCUAUGGAUUGUAAACCUCUUUUGUCGGGGAGCAGAGGACGCCACGCGUGCCGUUCCGAGAAUUCCCGAAGAAAAAGCAUCGGCUAAAGCCGUGCCAGCAGCCGCGGUAAUACGGGGGAUGGGAGCGUUAUCCGGGUUUUUUGGGGUUAAAGGGUGCGCAGGCGGAAGAUCAAGGCAGCGGUAAAAUUGAGAGGCUCAACCUCUUGCAGCCGUUGAAACUGGUUGUCUUGAGUGAGCGAGAAGUAUGCGGAAUGCGUGGUGUAGCGGUGAAAUGCAUAGAUAUCACGCAGAACUCCGAUUGCGAAGGCAGCAUACCGGCGCUCAACUGACGCUGAUGCACGAAAGUGUGGGUAUCGAACAGGAUUAGAUACCCUAGUAGUC